GUCGAAGUCGGUGAUGAGCCAGCUGAAUAAUAUUGUGCAAUUUGUUGACCGGGGUGAUUAAGUCCACUCGUCGUCGGCUUGUUAAAUAAAGACGAAAACGAAACAAAGAAAACAAGAUAACAAAAACUUUAACGCGACAUCGAAACGCACCUUCAAAGGAAUUAAUAUAGAUACACAUCGCCGAUGUAUUUACUACAUGCAUGGAUAUAAACAACAAAUAUGUGUGUACGUGAUGACAAUGUCGUACCAUUUGUACCCACAUACAAAUAUAUAUACAUUCACUUACACAUUUGUACAUAACACAAUAUACCUAAUACAUCCGGAUUAUGAAUACGAAUUGCCGUGAGCGUGAGAAGUACACAAAACGAAGUUGAGAAAUGGCGCAAAGCGAAGCAAAGGUUUUUGUUUUCAUCAACCACAUACAAGUUAUCAAUUUUCUUUUUAUGGUACUCUCAUUCGUUGGGAAGUACUUUCUGGUAUAUUCAUAUGUGCAUACAUAUGUACAUACAUAUAACACCAAAUACCUGCUGUCGAGAUCUAAAAAGUUUUUGUGAUGACAUUUAACCUGAGUUCAGUGAUACCAACAUUGACAUCCACAAUGUUUCUUAAUAUUAAUAGAUAGUGGCAUGCUCAGAAGUAUUUCCGUAUUAUCCUAUACCUCGCUACAUAUUUUAUCAUUAUUAACAUGUUUUUUAUUUUUUUCAAGUAAACGAUACGCAUUUACAAUUGCAACAACACUAUUCAAUGCAAUUUUUGUUU
This is a long non-coding RNA of Ceratitis capitata (Mediterranean fruit fly), 759 nucleotides long. RefSeq lists it as uncharacterized. The record is from RefSeq and is a predicted model, not a curated record. Lineage: Eukaryota; Metazoa; Arthropoda; Insecta; Diptera; Tephritidae. The transcript has 4 exons.